RNAcentral lists this ribosomal RNA (460 nucleotides) under uncultured bacterium. Its description in RNAcentral is "partial 16S ribosomal RNA". It matches the Rfam family "Bacterial small subunit ribosomal RNA", at positions 338 to 795 of the family's 1533-position model. The record is from RNAcentral.
CCUACGGGUGGCUGCAGUGAGGAAUAUUGGUCAAUGGACGGAAGUCUGAACCAGCCAUGCAGCGUGAAGGAAGACGGCUCUAUGAGUUGUAAACUUCUUUUGUACAAGGAUAAAACUGAGUACGUGUAUUCAGCUGAAAGUACUGUACGAAUAAGGAUCGGCUAACUCCGUGCCAGCAGCCGCGGUAAUACGGAGGAUCCAAGCGUUAUCCGGAUUUAUUGGGUUUAAAGGGUGCGUAGGUGGAUUGAUAAGUUAGAUGUGAAAUGUUCGAGCUUAACUGGGGAACUGCAGCUAAUACUGGUGAUCUAGAGAGUAGAUGCGGUAGGCGGAAUGUAUGGUGUAGCGGUGAAAUGCUUAGAGAUCAUACAGAACACCGAUUGCGAAGGCAGCUUACCAAUCUAUAUCUGACGUUGAGGCACGAAAGCGUGGGGAGCAAACAGGAUUAGAUACCCGAGUAGUC